UAGUUUGAUCCUGGCUCAGCCUGAACGCUGGCGGCGUGGCUAAGACAUGCAAGUCGAACGGGGGUAGCAAUACCCCAGUGGCGGACGGGUGAGUAAUGUAUCGCUAACGUGCCCCGGAGCCUGGGAUAGCCUUCCGAAAGGGAGGGUAAUACCAGAUGACAUGACCUGGUUGCAUGACCGGGUCCUCAAAGCAGCAAUGCACUCUGGGAGCGGGCGAUAUCGUAUCAGCUAGUUGGCGGGGUAACGGCCCACCAAGGCGACGACGCGUAGCCGGACUGAGAGGUUGGCCGGCCACAUUGGGACUGAGACACUGCCCAGACUCCUACGGGGGGCUGCAGUAACGAAUCUUCCGCAAUGCACGCAAGUGUGACGGAGCGACGCCGCGUGUGGGACGAAGCCCUUCGGGGUGUAAACCACUGUCAGGGGCAGCCAAGUUCUGAGGCGCCCCAGAGGAAGGCACGGCUAACUCUGUGCCAGCAGCCGCGGUAAGACAGAGGUGCCGAGCGUUAGGCGGAAUCACUGGGCUUAAAGCGUGUGUAGGCGGGUCGUUAAGUGCCUUGUGAAAUCCCACGGCUCAACCGUGGAACUGCUGGGCAUACUGGCGAUCUUGGGCCAACCAGGGGUCAUCGGAAACAACGGUGGAGCGGUGAAAUGCGUAGAUAUCGUUUGGAACG
This 674-nucleotide ribosomal RNA is filed under the name uncultured bacterium. RNAcentral's name for it is "bacterial SSU rRNA". It matches the Rfam family "Bacterial small subunit ribosomal RNA", at positions 9 to 708 of the family's 1533-position model. The record is from RNAcentral.